RNAcentral lists this ribosomal RNA (466 nucleotides) under uncultured bacterium. Its description in RNAcentral is "partial 16S ribosomal RNA". It matches the Rfam family "Bacterial small subunit ribosomal RNA", at positions 28 to 507 of the family's 1533-position model. The record is from RNAcentral.
GAUGAACGCUGGCGGCGCGCCUAACACAUGCAAGUCGAACGAUUAAAGCACCUUCGGGUGUGUAUAAAGUGGCGAACGGCUGAGUAACACGUGGGCAACCUGCCCCUUUCAUUGGGAUAGCCACGGGAAACCGUGGAUAAUACCGAAUACUUCUAGACUUCCGCAUGGAAGACUCGAGAAAGCUCCGGCGGAGAGGGAUGGCCCGCGGCCUGUUAGCUUGUUGGUGGGGUAACGGCCUACCAAGGCAAUGAUGGGUAGCUGGGUUGAGAGACCGACCAGCCAGAUUGGGACUGAGACACGGCCCAGACUCCUACGGGAGGCAGCAGUGGGGAAUCUUGCACAAUGGGCGAAAGCCUGAUGCAGCGACGCCGCGUGCGGGAUGAAGGCCUUCGGGUUGUAAACCGCUUUCAGCAGGGACGAGGCGAAAGUGACGGUACCUGCAGAAGAAGCCCCGGCUAACUACGUG